CGUAGCGCGGUGGUCCCACCUGACCCCAUGCCGAACUCAGAAGUGAAACGCCGUAGCGCCGAUGGUAGUGUGGGGUCUCCCCAUGCGAGAGUAGGGA
This 97-nucleotide ribosomal RNA is filed under the name Salmonella enterica subsp. enterica serovar Agona str. 432613. Lineage: Bacteria; Pseudomonadati; Pseudomonadota; Gammaproteobacteria; Enterobacterales; Enterobacteriaceae. The record is from RNAcentral. RNAcentral also lists the same sequence under 3 other names.